UUACGAGCCCUUGCCUCCACUUCGGCUUGUGUUCCUGGAGCAGCUAGGGUUACAAAUCUCGUUGCAGUUGAUGAUGAGCGGCGGGGCGUAUAAUUUUCUCGCCGCCUCCCUGCCUUCGCGGUUUGCUUGAAAGUGUGAAAUUGAAGUGUGAAUGCCAGGCUUUAACUCCAUUUCUGGGUGGGGCUUUGUUCUAGAGCAAGGAAUGUUAACUCUCAGUCAGAUGCUUUCGGCUGUGUGCUCAGUAAUAACUGUGUAUUGAUACACUCUUAGUACGAACAUACGAACGUUUCUCUGUUUUGGAAUACUGUAUCUGAGGAUUUGCGCUUUUAGAGGCGAAGCGUGGACUGUAAGUGUCAGGAAGCUGUUUACUGUGCUGGUUUUUUUUUUUUCGCUCGGACCAGGCGUGGUAUCGAUUCUCGCCGCAUCUGCAGCAGGAAGGAGGUUACGAAGUGUUGCGAUGAGUAUCGGUUUGGGGUUUGUCCAGUUCCCAAAUCAGCCAGAGAUAGAUGAUGCUGCUGCAAUUGCGGAUAACGGCGAUCCUCCGCCACACCCUGGGAGCCCGCGUUUCAAUCAAUUACCCUUCCUCCGCGCGGAUGAGGUUGAAGAAUUUCUUAACGUAGAUGCUCCGAACCGCGGCCAAAACCAGCCUCUCGAGGACGACUUGGAUCUAGCUGUUCCGGACCAGGUCCAAAACCAGGCUCACGAGGAGCUAGGUAACUUAAUUCAACGACACCCCGCUGGCAUCUUCGGUGUGGAGUACUGGGAAGUGUACUCGGGCUUGGAUUACAUCGAUGAGGUGGUCAAAGAGUUUGCUCAAGAGGAGGAAUUAGAGGACGACGAGAAGGUGGUGGAUAGCUCACCAUCGGACAACUCAAUUCAACCUUAUGCCACUGGCAUUGACUCUGCGGAGUACGGGGAAGUGGACGCAAGCUCGGAUUACAGCGAUGAGUUGGUAAACGCAGAUCCUGAAGAGGAGGAAUCAGAGAAGGACGAGAACGAAGAGAAGGUGCUGGACAGUGAACCAUCAGAACCGCCAUCCAAACGGAUACGUGCUGUCGACAAUCCCUCCGUCGAGCUGAGCCCUUCAAUAUCUGUUGACAACAAGCUUCUGCAUGAAAUCUUUCCUCCGAAUCAGUCCAUUGCAAUGAUGGGUGUACAGGACGUGUCAAUACGGGAUGCCGACGCCUCUCUUCCGUUCGGAUCUGUGCUGGAGCGCUCACCAUGAUUUGCCACCAUUCGAAUUUCAGCUCACUGAUGACUGGCGGCUCACGUAUUGUUUAAAGUCUCUGCAAACCAAUGAAUGCACAUGAAGCAAGGAUUUAAAAUUUCCGUCAUGACAUCGGUAGACGCAAAGUUCGCGUUUGGAAAUUAUAAGGUCGCCGGACUUUGACUCCCUUGCUUCUCUCAACUUAAGCUUUCUAACCAUGCCGGAACAUCAGUUCCUAGUCAUAUGUACUGCUCACGUUGGUUGGGGACCCCUCUAUACUUAAAAGUGCUCGCUCUUAUCUGUCACGGCAAAAAUUACAAAGAGUAGAUUCAUCAAACUUAGCAUCUUUGUAUUGGUGGUGAAUUUGAUGAUAUCAAAAAAAUGUCUCUUGCUACCGUUUACUUCAAGUGCUGCCAAUUAUAGUAUUUAUCCACUAUUCUGUAAAUCAGUUUUAGUGAUAUAAUGUAAUUGAGAUAAUUAAUAAAUAUAUGUGUGUAUUUAUUCA
This is a non-coding RNA of Physcomitrium patens, 1712 nucleotides long. Lineage: Eukaryota; Viridiplantae; Streptophyta; Bryopsida; Funariales; Funariaceae. The record is from RefSeq and is a predicted model, not a curated record.